UACGUAGGGUGCGAGCGUUAAUCGGAAUUACUGGGCGUAAAGCGUGCGCAGGCGGUUUCGCAAGUCAGAUGUGAAAGCCCCGGGCUUAACCUGGGAACUGCGUUUGAAACUACGAGGCUAGAGUACGGCAGAGGGAGGUGGAAUUCCAAGUGUAGCAGUGAAAUGCGUAGAUAUUUGGAGGAACACCGAUGGCGAAGGCAGCCUCCUGGGCUAGUACUGACGCUCAUGCACGAAAGCGUGGGGAGCAAACAGGAUUAGAUACCCCAGUAGU
This 271-nucleotide ribosomal RNA is filed under the name uncultured bacterium. RNAcentral's name for it is "partial 16S ribosomal RNA". It matches the Rfam family "Bacterial small subunit ribosomal RNA", at positions 524 to 794 of the family's 1533-position model. The record is from RNAcentral.